Long non-coding RNA from Magnolia sinica, 792 nucleotides. RefSeq lists it as uncharacterized. The transcript has 3 exons. NCBI's taxonomy places the organism in Eukaryota, Viridiplantae, Streptophyta, Magnoliopsida, Magnoliales, Magnoliaceae. The record is from RefSeq and is a predicted model, not a curated record.
GAAGACCUUCAUCCUCAGCGUGCUUCGCUGGUCCAUCUCUCCUUACUGCGCCCUCGUUCUUCUUCUCCGUUUGUCUUAACCCUCUUGCGAGAGGAUUGGAUGUCAUUACAACCAUAUCUGAGAUGUAGAGGCAAUUGUUAGCAUUGUGUUCUUCGCUUACGUUGAAGAUGGGAUGUCUUCAUCUUAGGUUGAUCCUGCCAUAAAUCUCCUUCUUCUCUCGCCCAAAAUAGAUUACCCUAAGGGCAAAAGUGAAAGAAGAUCGUCAUACUAAUCAGUUCAUUUUCACUUUAACAAAGAACAGAUGUGAGAAAAUGAGGAUACUGCAUGAUCACAUGUGUUGUUCUUAGUUUUAUAUAAGACCCGGGAUACUCCAUGACCACACAAUGCACUUCAAUUCUGACAAUGUGUUUUAUUUGUAGAUAGAAAUGGAUAAAUACUAUGUCGUAUUUGUGGGUAGAGUGCCAGAAAUAUAUGACAACUAGGAGGAUGCUCGGAAACAGGUUGAAAGAUUUAGCGGGUCCAGACAUUGAUUAUUCAGAACGCAUGAUGAGGCUGUCACAGAGUGGACCACAUUCAAGGUAUGAACCUAAAUUGCAUACGAAAAAUUCUGAAAAUAUGUUUAGGAAUUUAUGGUUACUAUCAGAUUCAUCCAUUGUAUCUGAGGUGUAAUAGUAACUUGAUUACAUGUAUUUAGGCCACUUUGCAGCAAGUUGGGUCGGGCAACACCUGUAGUCUACAUAACAGGGCAUCAUCAAGCAUGACAGAAAGACUGUCGGGAAGAGUUAAAGGUGG